AACUAGUUCGAUAUUUACUUAGUUUAGACAUAAUAGUAAUUUGCCUAAGUAUUAUAAUUUAGAACCUAGUAAUUCACCUGUGAUCUUGGUUCACUCUGUGAAAACGGUAUCGGUGGCUGCCGUGACCGUUUUCUAACGGCGAAAUCGCACUACAGGACCGUUUUUUAAAAUCUUUUUUGUUAAUAACUAUGUCUGCUAUAGGUUUAUUAUCUUUGAAUAAUUGAAAUCGCACACAGUUUUCUUUAAUAAUUGAAAUCUACGAAUUUACCAAGAGACUAAACCAAGCUUCAAAGACUGUCAACAAACUUUAUCACUCAAUAAAACAUUGAAAGAAAUGCUUAAAUUGUUUCAAAGAAAUGCUUACAUAAAUUAGAUCUUAGCCAGGACCAAAGAACAUUAGAUCACCCAAGAUCUCAGUCAAGACCUUACAUAAAUCACAAAAUCUAACAGCCAAGAGGAAGAGGAAUAUGAAAGAAAAUACCUUAGUUGAAAAAGGAACACUGUGAAACAGAUCGUCGGAGAUGGAGCAGGUGACGGCGGCGCGCGCUAGGGUUGAAUGGAAGAUGGAGCAGGAGACGGCGGCGCGGCUAGGGUGUAACGGAAGAUGGAGCAUAAGACGGCGGCGCGGCUAGGGUUGAAUGGAAGAUGGAUCAGGAGACGGCGGCUAGGGUUGAAGGAAUGAAUGGUGGUGGCUGAAUGAAUGGUGGCGGCGGAAUGAACCAGGUGAAGAAAGAGAAAUUUUCCAACAAAAUGAAUUGAAAUGAGAGAGGGUAGUAGGGUACGGCACAAAUUUUAAUUAGUUUUUUCAUCUUUGAUUUUUCUUUUUUGACAUGGAAUUGAUUUAAUUUUUUUAUUAUUAUUAUUUGUGGUGCCACAUAAGGGUGGUAUAAGGUGUAGUGCCACCUAUGGUGGUACACCUAUCACUGCUC
Molecule: long non-coding RNA, 929 nt
Filed under: Medicago truncatula (barrel medic)
Lineage: Eukaryota; Viridiplantae; Streptophyta; Magnoliopsida; Fabales; Fabaceae
Description: long non-coding RNA (MTRU_LNC002868)
Source: RNAcentral